Molecule: long non-coding RNA, 645 nt
Filed under: Salmo salar (Atlantic salmon)
Lineage: Eukaryota; Metazoa; Chordata; Actinopteri; Salmoniformes; Salmonidae
Description: lncRNA (ENSSSAG00000084902.1, ENSSSAG00000117975.1)
Source: RNAcentral
GUGGUAGCCGGUUAGUAACAGCUUCAUGGUAUAGUACUUGGUGGUAGCCGGCUAGUAACAGUCUCUAAGGUUCAGGGUAGAGUACUGGGUGGUAGCAGGCUAGUAACAGUGACUAAGAUUCAGGGUAGAGUACUGGGUGAUAGCCAGCUAGUAACAGGUUCAGGGUAGAGUACCGGGUGGUAGCCGGGUAGUAACACGUUCAGGGUAGAGUACUGGGUGAUAGCCAGCUAGUAACAGGUUCAGGGUAGAGUACCGGGUGGUAGCCGGGUAGUAACAGGUUCAGGGUAGAGUACCGGGUGGUAGCCGGCUAGUAACAGGUUCAGGGUAGAGUACCGAGUGGUAGCCAGCUGGUAACAGGUUCUGGGUAUAGUACCGGGUGGUAGCUGGUUAGUAACAGGUUCAGGGUAGAGUACCUUGUGGUAGCUGGCUAGUAACAGUCUCUAAGGUUCAGUGUAGAGUACCGGGUGGUAGCUGGCUAGAAACAGGUUCAGGGUAGAGUACUGGGUGGUAGCCAGCUAGUAACAGGUUCAGGGUAGAGUACCGGGUGGUAGCCAGCUAGUAACAGGUUCAGGGUAGAGUACCGGGUGGUAGCCAGCUAGUAACAGGUUCAGGGUAGAGUACCGGGUGGUAGCCGGCUAGUAACAG